CAUAGCAGAAAGUAACAACAGAUGGGAUCUCGUAAUUCAUUUUCAAUGACGAACGCAUCAUUUUUUUUUAAUUUCAAUGCUAAUAAUGAUAUGGGGCACGUGUUCCGUGGUUAGCACGUGUGCCUCACAGGUCUGAGGGUCAGGGUCAGGGUCUGGGUCUGGACCGGGACCACGACCACGACCCAAACCUCUUUCAUCGGGGUUUUGGAAGACAUUUGAUUUCACAGGUUGUCCAAAUAAUAACGGGCCCAGCCACCCACCAGUGCCCGCCACGCCUGACGUCGUACGCGCCGCCUGGGGCUGAGCCUGGCGUGCUGCAGAGAAACGCCGGCGAGCGUUCUGUCACACUCAUUGAGAAGUCUUUGCAACGAAUCCAAGCCACGUGAGGAUAUCGAGAAGGGCGCCGUGUUGGUCGGCGAAUGAGAAGACACUAACGACGCUAGCAUGCUGCUUUUGCCAUAAUGCGUAACUGGUGAGUUCUUCCGGGGUGUUCCGACCAUUAAAAGGUGCUGAUGAGGUAUAGUCGC
This is a long non-coding RNA of Phycodurus eques (leafy seadragon), 527 nucleotides long. RefSeq lists it as uncharacterized. The transcript is spliced from 3 exons. Lineage: Eukaryota; Metazoa; Chordata; Actinopteri; Syngnathiformes; Syngnathidae. The record is from RefSeq and is a predicted model, not a curated record.